Molecule: signal recognition particle RNA, 95 nt
Filed under: Mycoplasmataceae bacterium
Lineage: Bacteria; Bacillati; Mycoplasmatota; Mollicutes; Mycoplasmatales; Mycoplasmataceae
Description: signal recognition particle sRNA small type
Rfam family: Bacterial small signal recognition particle RNA
About the family: The signal recognition particle (SRP) is a universally conserved ribonucleoprotein involved in the co-translational targeting of proteins to membranes. Archaeal SRP consists of a 7S RNA and homologues of the eukaryotic SRP19 and SRP54 proteins.
Source: RNAcentral
AUUUUAUGUCACUAUAAUAGUGCUUUACUAACCUCGCCAGGUUGGAAACAAAGCAACGAUAUGUUGAAGUAUUAUGUAUAGUGACAUGAUAACAU